RNAcentral lists this ribosomal RNA (693 nucleotides) under uncultured Bacteroidales bacterium. Its description in RNAcentral is "bacterial SSU rRNA". It matches the Rfam family "Bacterial small subunit ribosomal RNA", at positions 67 to 750 of the family's 1533-position model. Lineage: Bacteria; Pseudomonadati; Bacteroidota; Bacteroidia; Bacteroidales. The record is from RNAcentral.
GGGCAGCAUGAACUUAGCUUGCUAAGUUUGAUGGCGACCGGCGCACGGGUGAGUAACACGUAUCCAACCUGCCGAUGACUCGGGGAUAGCCUUUCGAAAGAAAGAUUAAUACCCGAUGGCAUAGUUCUUCCGCAUGGUAGAACUAUUAAAGAAUUUCGGUCAUCGAUGGGGAUGCGUUCCAUUAGGUUGUUGGCGGGGUAACGGCCCACCAAGCUUUCGAUGGAUAGGGGUUCUGAGAGGAAGGUCCCCCACAUUGGAACUGAGACACGGUCCAAACUCNUACGGGAGGCAGCAGUGAGGAAUAUUGGUCAAUGGACGAGAGUCUGAACCAGCCAAGUAGCGUGAAGGAUGACUGCCCUAUGGGUUGUAAACUUCUUUUAUACGGGAAUAAAGUGAGGCACGUGUGCCUUUUUGUAUGUACCGUAUGAAUAAGGAUCGGCUAACUCCGUGCCAGCAGCCGCGGUAAUACGGAGGAUCCGAGCGUUAUCCGGAUUUAUUGGGUUUAAAGGGAGCGUAGGCGGACGCUUAAGUCAGUUGUGAAAGUUUGCGGCUCAACCGUAAAAUUGCAGUUGAUACUGGGUGUCUUGAGUACAGUAGAGGCAGGCGGAAUUCGUGGUGUAGCGGUGAAAUGCUUAGAUAUCACGAAGAACUCCGAUUGCGAAGGCAGCUUGCUGGACUGUAACUGACGCUGAU